Molecule: ribosomal RNA, 232 nt
Filed under: uncultured bacterium
Lineage: Bacteria
Description: partial 16S ribosomal RNA
Rfam family: Bacterial small subunit ribosomal RNA
Source: RNAcentral
UACGAAGGGGCGUAGCGUUGCUCGGAAUCACUGGGCGUAAAGCGCACGUAGGCGGCUUUCUAAGUCAGGGGUGAAAUCCUGGAGCUCAACUCCAGAACUGCCUUUGAUACUGGGAAGCUCGAGUCCGGAAGAGGUGAGUGGAACUGCGAGUGUAGAGGUGAAAUUCGUAGAUAUUCGCAAGAACACCAGUGGCGAAGGCGGCUCACUGGUCCGGUACUGACGCUGAGGUGCG